RNAcentral lists this long non-coding RNA (146 nucleotides) under Bos indicus x Bos taurus (hybrid cattle). Its description in RNAcentral is "lncRNA (ENSBIXG00000022500.1)". The record is from RNAcentral. Lineage: Eukaryota; Metazoa; Chordata; Mammalia; Artiodactyla; Bovidae.
GCUGGGGUUUCUUUCUGAGGUGAAUCCCAGGCACUAGGACACAUCUGGUUAAGAGCAUUUGGUCUGUGCCCGGAAAUACAGAGUUCAGAAGAGUCUCACGGUGAUCUGAGAAUCCUGAGCAGAAGUUUGAACGUCACCCAGCUUUC